RNAcentral lists this transfer RNA (71 nucleotides) under Candidatus Shapirobacteria bacterium CG09_land_8_20_14_0_10_38_17. Its description in RNAcentral is "tRNA-Gln". It matches the Rfam family "tRNA". From Rfam's summary of the family: Transfer RNA (tRNA) molecules are approximately 80 nucleotides in length. Their secondary structure includes four short double-helical elements and three loops (D, anti-codon, and T loops). The record is from RNAcentral. Lineage: Bacteria; Candidatus Shapironibacteriota.
UGCCCGGUCGUCUAAUGGUAGGACAGUUGGCUCUGAACCAACUAAUUCAGGUUCGAAUCCUGGCUGGGCAA